RNAcentral lists this ribosomal RNA (253 nucleotides) under uncultured bacterium. RNAcentral's name for it is "partial 16S ribosomal RNA". It matches the Rfam family "Bacterial small subunit ribosomal RNA", at positions 524 to 776 of the family's 1533-position model. The record is from RNAcentral.
UACGUAGGAUGCAAGCGUUAAUCGGAAUUACUGGGCGUAAAGGGCUCGUAGGCGGCCAACUAAGUCAGACGUGAAAUCCCCAGGCUCAACCUGGGAACUGCGUCUGAUACUGGAUGGCUUGAAUCCGGGAGAGGGAUGCAGAAUUCCAGGUGUAGCGGUGAAAUGCGUAGAUAUCUGGAGGAAUACCGGUGGCGAAGGCGGCAUCCUGGACCGGCAUUGACGCUGAGGAGCGAAAGCCAGGGGAGCAAACGGG